Molecule: small nucleolar RNA, 107 nt
Organism: Solanum dulcamara
Lineage: Eukaryota; Viridiplantae; Streptophyta; Magnoliopsida; Solanales; Solanaceae
Source: RefSeq, a predicted model, not a curated record
UGAUGAUGGUGAGGACAACUAAGGAGUAAAAAUUUAAACCUAUCCCAUGAUUGGUACAAAUUUUCUCUAGAUUUUUGUUUAAAGCUUAAAAUUUUAUCCCUCAACUU